AUGGAAAGUAGUGGUGAGGAGAGGGGGUGGGUCGAAAAGGUGUCGCAGUUUGGCGGGAAGGUGAAUAUCGAGGAGGUGCUGAGCUACAAGGUAGCGCCAGCGUGGAACGAGGAGAAGGUGCAGGGCGAGGAGAGGGCGUGGGGCGAGGAGAGCUCAAAAGGCAAAGAGUGUGUCUCUAAGAAGGGGCGGGGCGAGGAGCAGGCUGGGGAAGAACAGCUUGUCAAAGACAAGGGGCAAGGGAGGGUGGAUAAGGAGCAGGUCGCGGAACACCUGCCGGACAACGAGCAGAAGCAGAGCCAGGAGCAAAUUCUAAGCAAGAAACAGGGGCGGAGACAGAGGAAGGGGCGGGGCAUGGAGAAGGUCCAAGAUCUGGACCGGGAGAGGGGCGGAGCUGGGUACAGGACCAGGUACCAGAGCAGGGACCCAGAGAAGAGAGAGGGGCGGUGCGAAGAGAAGUGGGCGGGUGGAGCAAGAAGUGGGGGCGGUGCUAAGUGCAGGUGCAAGUGUAAGUGCGAGAUCACAGGAAAUAACAGGACUGAGGAAAAUAGGUGGGAUGCAGCCAAAGCGAGAAACAGAAACCGAAACGAGGAGAAGAGUAGGGGAGGGAUGCAGAGCAGGCGCAGAGCCAAGAACAAGGGGGGGGCAAGAUUAAGGGGCGAGACGAGGAGACAGGAUGAAACCAGGAGCAGGUGCGUGGCCAGGAGCAACAGCAGGGGCAGCACCUGGAGUAAUAGCAGAGGUGGGAUCUGGAAAAGGAGCAGAUUCAGGGCCUGGGACAGGAUCGAGGUCUGGUGCAGAGGCGGAGCCAGGAGAAAAAGCAGGAGCGGAGCCAGGUGCAAGAGUAGGGGCGGGGCCAGGCGUAAGAGUAGGGGCGGGGCCAGGCUUAAGAGUAGGAGUGGGGCCAGAAGUCCCUGCAGAAGCCAUUCUAUUAGAAGGGGCGGGGCGAAGCUCAAGAGCAAGGCGGAUUUCAAAAGGCGGCAUCACAGAAGGCGGCCCAGGAGCUCAGUAUAG
This 1011-nucleotide long non-coding RNA is filed under the name Rhinolophus ferrumequinum (greater horseshoe bat). RNAcentral's name for it is "lncRNA (ENSRFEG00010007014.1)". The record is from RNAcentral. Lineage: Eukaryota; Metazoa; Chordata; Mammalia; Chiroptera; Rhinolophidae.